Molecule: ribosomal RNA, 634 nt
Filed under: Papiliotrema laurentii
Lineage: Eukaryota; Fungi; Basidiomycota; Tremellomycetes; Tremellales; Rhynchogastremaceae
Description: eukaryotic LSU rRNA
Rfam family: Eukaryotic large subunit ribosomal RNA
Source: RNAcentral
UAUCAAUAAGCGGAGGAAAAGAAACUAACAAGGAUUCCCCUAGUAACGGCGAGUGAACCGGGAAGAGCUCAAAUUUGAAAUCUGGCGUCCUCAGGGCGUCCGAGUUGUAAUCUAUAGAGGCGUUUUCCGUGCCGGACCGUGUCCAAGUUCCUUGGAACAGGAUAUCAAAGAGGGUGACAAUCCCGUACUUGACACGACGACCGGUGCUCUGUGAUACGUCUUCUACGAGUCGAGUUGUUUGGGAAUGCAGCUCAAAAUGGGUGGUGAGUUCCAUCUAAAGCUAAAUAUUGGCGAGAGACCGAUAGCGAACAAGUACCGUGAGGGAAAGAUGAAAAGCACUUUGGAAAGAGAGUUAAACAGUACGUGAAAUUGUUGAAAGGGAAACGAUUGAAGUCAGUCGUGACCGAGAGGCUCAGCCGGUUCUGCCGGUGUAUUCCCCUCGGUCGGGUCAACAUCAGUUUUGUCCGGUGGAUAAGGGCGGUAGGAAGGUGGCACCCUCGGGUGUGUUAUAGCCUGCCGUCGCAUACAUCGGGUGAGACUGAGGAACGCAGCUCGCCUUUAUGGCCGGGGUUCGCCCACGUCCGAGCUUAGGAUGUUGACAUAAUGGCUUUAAACGACCCGUCUUGAAACACGG